AUUGAACGCUGGCGGCAUGCCUUACACAUGCAAGUCGAACGGUAACAGUUCUUCGGAUGCUGACGUGUGGCGAACGCGUGCGUAAUACUUCGGAACGUGCCCGAUCGUGGGGGAUAACGAGCCGAAAGCUUUGCUAAUACCUCAUACGAUCUACGGACGAAAGAGGGGGAUCUUCGGACCUCGCGCGGCCGGAGCGUCCGAUGACAGAUUAGGCAGUUGGUGGGAUAAAAGUUUACCAAGCCGACGAUCUGUAGCUGGUCUGAGAGGAGGAUCAGCCACACUGGGACUGAGAAACGGCCAAGAUUCCUACGGGAGGAAGAAGAGGGGAAUUUUGGACAAUGGGCGAAAGCCUGAUCAAGCAAUGCCGCGUGCAGGAGGAAGGUCUUUGGGUUGUAAACUGCGUUUGUACGGAACGAAAAGCCUGUUUCUAAAAAAGAGGGGUCAUGACGGUACCGUAAGAAUAAGCAACGGCUAACUACGUG
This 482-nucleotide ribosomal RNA is filed under the name uncultured bacterium. RNAcentral describes it as "partial 16S ribosomal RNA". It matches the Rfam family "Bacterial small subunit ribosomal RNA", at positions 30 to 507 of the family's 1533-position model. The record is from RNAcentral.